CCCUUAGAUGUCCUGGGCCGCACGCGCGCUACACUGAUGCAUGCAACGAGUUUAUAACCUUGGCCUGAAAGGUCUGGGUAAUCUUUUGAACGUGCAUCGUGAUAGGGAUAGAUUAUUGCAAUUGUUAAUCUUGAACGAGGAAUUCCUAGUAAACGCGAGUCAUCAGCUCGCAUUGAUUACGUCCCUGCCCUUUGUACACACCGCCCGUCGCGCCUACCGAUUGAAUGGUUCGGUGAAGAUCUCGGACUUCGAUAUUUAUUCUUUAUUGAGUUUAUAUUGUGGGAAGUUAUCUAAACCUCAUCAUUUAGAGGAAGGUGAAGUCGUAACA
This 328-nucleotide ribosomal RNA is filed under the name uncultured eukaryote. RNAcentral describes it as "partial 18S ribosomal RNA". It matches the Rfam family "Eukaryotic small subunit ribosomal RNA", at positions 1470 to 1796 of the family's 1831-position model. The record is from RNAcentral.